Molecule: small RNA, 720 nt
Filed under: Pongo abelii (Sumatran orangutan)
Lineage: Eukaryota; Metazoa; Chordata; Mammalia; Primates; Hominidae
Description: retained intron
Source: RNAcentral
AAAGUUUCUGAAACGUAAUCCCAGCCAGCGGAUUGGGGGUGGCCCAGGGGAUGCUGCUGAUGUGCAGAGACAUCCCUUUUUCCGGCACAUGAAUUGGGACGACCUUCUGGCCUGGCGUGUGGACCCCCCUUUCAGGCCCUGUCUGCAGUCAGAGGAGGACGUGAGCCAGUUUGAUACCCGCUUCACACGGCAGACGCCAGUGGACAGUCCCGAUGACACGGCCCUCAGCGAGAGUGCCAACCAGGCCUUCCUGGUGAGUGCGGUGGCCUGAGGCCUGUGGGACCAGGGCAGGGAUCGUGACUAAGGAUGGCAGGCACUAAGUGUCUCAUGGCCCUGCCUCCACCCCCCAGGGCUUCACAUACGUGGCGCCAUCUGUCCUGGACAGCAAGGAAGGCUUCUCCUUCCAGCCCAAGCUGCGCUCACCCAGGCGCCUCAACAGUAGCCCCCGGGCCCCCAUCAGGUACUGAGGGACGUGGGGGUGUGUGGCUGGGGUAGGGACACUAGCAGGCAGGACACCAGCUCCAGCCUUGGGUGCCUUGGCCACGUCUGUCAGCCAGUGUUGGCUUCGGUUGCUGUGUCUACCAUGGGGACCUCAGUUCCUACACCCCUUGUGGCCAGGCUGCCUGGAUGGGAGUUUGUGGAGCCCAUGGCCUGUGUGCCUGGGCAGGUGGGAGAGGCUGCCUUCCCUGAUCGAGUACUGGCAGCCUCUGGCAGGGCCUA